This 75-nucleotide antisense RNA is filed under the name Streptomyces sp. CB02488. RNAcentral describes it as "ASpks TB sRNA". It matches the Rfam family "ASpks TB sRNA". Lineage: Bacteria; Bacillati; Actinomycetota; Actinomycetes; Kitasatosporales; Streptomycetaceae. The record is from Rfam by way of RNAcentral.
CUUCAGCGAGCCGAGCCGCAGCGGCAGCCCCUCGGGCCGGUCCUGUCCGUAGGUGGCCAGCAGCGCCUGCGCCUC